Molecule: long non-coding RNA, 2515 nt
Filed under: Polistes fuscatus (common paper wasp)
Lineage: Eukaryota; Metazoa; Arthropoda; Insecta; Hymenoptera; Vespidae
Description: uncharacterized LOC122515764, transcript variant X2
Source: RNAcentral
AGUAAAGUGCAUUAGAAAGUAUUCAAAUAAUUGUUAAUUAAUCGAAGAAAAUUUGUAUUGUUGUCUAAAAGCACGAAGUGUAUGUUCAGUGCAUCGUUUUCUUCGAAAUCCCCCGUUAGAUUGGUACAUUGUUUUCUAUCAAAGUUUUCUUUAUUAAAUGUUGUUUAUAUGACAUUCCGAACGUUGCGCAUAUGUAUAAAGAGAAUAAUAUUCGUAAUAAAUAGAAUUUCCUUUUUUUUUCGAAAAGUCAUAUAAAUAACUUUCAAUAAAAUAACUUUCACAGAAGACAACGAGCCAGUCUAACGGUGGAUUUCGAGAAGAACGGUACGUAGAUCUUACACUUUUUUGCUUUUAGACAACAAUAAACAUUUACUUCGAUUAAUAAAUAACCAUUGUACUCUAAUGUACUUUAUUUAUAUUUAGAACUGUCUAAAUAUUGUUUAUACAUUUAUACUUUGUAUUAUCCUUAUUUGAAUAUCUAUUAAACUGAUCAUUGAAGGUACUUGAUAUUCGUUUAAUUCAUGAAAUAUCUAAUAAAAGUAUACUAAUGUAUUUAUUUGUAAAUUAUUUUCAUCUUAAACACAUACUAUAUCAAUAAUUUUCAAAGAAAAAAAUGUAGUAAACGUGACGGUAUACGGUUUUAAGUGUACUUGCAUAAGAUAUUUUUGACUGUUCUUCCCCAACUGAACGAUUAAUCGCAAUUCGGGUUUCUAUUCGUAGGAACUAAUACCGUACUUGACCUAAAACUUUUGCAAAAAAUCUAUCUCACCCUUAGAAAGAGAGAGAGAGAGAGAGAAUGAGAGGUUCUAGGUUUCUUUCAGUUUGCGUGCAGUGCGACAACCUUUUAAACAUGAUCGAUAAAUUCUCUCUCUCUCUCUCUCUCUCUCUCUCUCUCCCUAUUGUCUCUUGUAAUAUACAUAUGUAUUGUAUGUAUUCUAUAACCUUUCGCAUAUACAGUAUGUAUUUACGUCCCUUCUUAAUAACGAUCAUUCUAUGUUUAUUUAUCGAGUCGACGAGUCGACGUACUCGUCAAACAACGAGGAGGAGGAGAUACCAAAAUCGCGCUACUGUUUUUCUCCUUUGGAUCGAUCGACCUGGGUGGAGGAGUCUUAAAAAAAACUGUGUCACACACUGUGUCACAGAAACCAUAGGGCAAAAAAAGAAAAACAAAAAGAAAAAGAAUAAGAAGAAGAAGAAAGGACAGUAAUCGUCGAAUGACGAUACUUAACUUUUCACGAGGAGGAUUGGUAAUGAGAUCAGAAAAUUGGACGUGGCACAUAUGAGAGUCGGCUGUAGUCUUGAUAUGGCUUUCUUCGGCAUUUCAUUUCGAGUAAGAAAGAAAUAAAAGAUUAAGAGUGAGGUUAAAGUGUCGGUGGGGGUCGAAGGAAACGUUCAAAUUACGUAAGUGAUUAAAAAUGUAGAGGGGAAAGUAAAGAAGAAGAAGAAGAAGAAGACAAGAGAGUAGGAGGAUGAUGGGGUCUUCUUUGGUUCUUCGUAUUUUACGCAUAGUCGUAAGCUCUGCAGCAGAAUCACCAGAUAUAUAUAUACCGUACGUACAUACAGACUGUGUCAUAAAUAGUUUCGUUCUAUUUGAUGACGUUCAUCUUGCUAAAGCUCUCCCUAAGCGCUGGAUAGAGCUUUCGCUAGGUGUCGAUGGCAGAAGGGAUGAGAUCCAAUCGAUAGGGUCCCCGUUCGCUGCAUUAUCGACGCAAAAAAAAAGCGUGCGACCGAAGACAAAAGAGUGGCCCGAGUAAAAAUUAAUUAAUAAAACAUCAUGCGAUGUUCUGUAUUUAAUUAAAACGAACAAUUUUCAUUUUAAUUCAUUAUCGAAGUCUUUUAGAUAUCUUCCGACGUUAUUUCCAUUGAUAAUUAAUUACCCUAAUAUGUUGAGGUAUUUAAAUAAUAUGGAUAUAUGGAUGUAUAUAGGAAAAAUGUUUCUAUUUAAUUAUUUAAUUAAACCUAUGUUUUGAAAUAGAAAGAAAAAUAUAUUAAUUAUCGGCGUAAAUAAAUUGUUAAGAUAUACGGUAGUGCACUCUAUAUUGGAAAUACGCACCUUCCGUACUAAACUAUCGUAUUGGAGACCUUGGCCUAUAUUCUCUCCUAGUGGCUUACUUUUAGUAUUAAAGUGCGCAGAAUGUACACACAUAGAAGAACCGAUUUAUAGACGACGUGUAAGUAUUGUCUGUCUCCUCCUCUUCUGGCAUCUUAUUUUAUGUGUGUUGCGCGUAUUCGCAUCUAAAGAUUUCAUUUGAUAGAAUAAAAAAAUGCACAUGUGUGUAUAAUUUGGUUUUUAUCUAAAAUAUCUAAACAUUGUUUCAUCCACUGUUAACAUUUUAUUCAUCGUAUAUACAUGUAUGUAUGUAUAUAUAUAUAUGUAUAUAUAUAUAUGUAUAUAUAUAGAUAUAUUUUUGAUGAUUAGUUCAUGUACCUUGCGGUAGUACUCUGUCUGGCUGCCUGCUGCACCCUGGGUUUGACGCAUCAUUGAAUAAAUUGAGCAUAGAUAUCCUAUUUGGGA